UUGAACGCUGGCGGCAGGCCUAACCCAUGCACGUCGAGCGGAUGAAGGGAGCUUGCUCCUGGAUUCAGCGGCGGACGGGUGAGUAAUGCCUAGGAAUCUGCCUGGUAGUGGGGGAUAACGUCCGGAAACGGGCGCUAAUACCGCAUACGUCCUGAGGGAGAAAGUGGGGGAUCUUCGGACCUCACGCUAUCAGAUGAGCCUAGGUCGGAUUAGCUAGUUGGUGGGGUAAAGGCCUACCAAGGCGACGAUCCGUAACUGGUCUGAGAGGAUGAUCAGUCACACUGGAACUGAGACACGGUCCAGACUCCUACGGGAGGCAGCAGUGGGGAUAUUGGACAAUGGGCGAAAGCCUGAUCCAGCCAUGCCGCGUGUGUGAAGAAGGUCUUCGGAUUGUAAAGCACUUUAAGUUGGGAGGAAGGGCAGUAAGUUAAUACCUUGCUGUUUUGACGUUACCAACAGAAUAAGCACCGGCUAACUUCGUG
Molecule: ribosomal RNA, 482 nt
Filed under: uncultured bacterium
Lineage: Bacteria
Description: partial 16S ribosomal RNA
Rfam family: Bacterial small subunit ribosomal RNA
Source: RNAcentral